GUAGCGGUGAAUUUGGCGGUGCGUUGACAUUGGAGGAGGGACUUGAGAAACUGAAGGAGGCUCUCCAAAUCUUGAAUUCUCCUUCCCCUUCUUCCCCUACUGUCCUAAGACCUUCACUUUGUUUUGCUCCCAACCCCACUCCUCCUCGGUCUUUCCUCUCAUUUAUGUAUCCAAGAACGACGCCGACUCUAAAUCACUCUGUCAAUUUGGAUGAUAAUGUGAGUCACCAGAAAGAAAGGUUCUUUUUGGUUUUCCAUACCUCAGAUUGAGUUAGAUGAGCUGGAAAGUGUUUCCAUUCUGUCAAUGACCCUUGCAUGGGAUGAAUUUUCCUUCUCUACUUUUCAAGAAGCCCAUUAUUCGCUUCAAGAUUCUCUAGACCAGCUGUAGAUCCUCAGUACAAGGAUUUAAGGCAUUUUCAGUGGCAUUGGGAAAAGGGGGAGCCUGUCAUUGUCAGCAAUGUGCUUGAAUGUACAUCUGGUUUAAGCUGGGAACCGCUUGUCAUGUGGCGUGCAUUACGUCAUGUAACUAAUACCAAGCAUGGCCAACAUUUGGCGGAGAAAACAAUUGAUUGCUUAGAUUGGACUGAGGUUUGCUUAAUUUCCCAAUCUUUAACUUUAUUGACCAUGGAGAGCUUUUUACACAAAUUUCAUUCUUCACCUUCAUUCUCAUGAAGAUUAUGUUUAAUUGUUUGAUGUUGGUACUUAUUUUAACUGGAACCACUGCAGUUAUGGCAUUUGGAGAAUUAUUUAAUAUUAGCAAUUUUUAUGUUGUUGAAUUUCCUACAUGUUUCCUGAAUUCAGUAACUCCACCUUUUCUGGAUUGAGACUUGAGAGUUAUUUCAGUGCAUUUAAUAUUGUCAGUUAUUGAAUUCCAUAGAGUCAUCAGAACAGAAUGUCCUUGAAAUAUUUUGUGAAGUACUGAAAAAUUACAAUUUUUUGGUGGAUGGUUCCACUUUAAGAAACAGUUUGUAGAUGUUCUGCUAUCUGGGUCAUAAAGAGAUACCGGCCUAAGGUGGAAUGUUGGUAAACAAAACGCACAUUAGGGUGAUAAUUAGAAAUCAUUUUUCUGAGUGUAGUUUUUAUAUCAGUCUCAAAUUUUAAGCCCUUGUUUCAUGCUUUAUGCUGUCUCUCCAUCAUUCUCAAGAAAUAUGGCUAGUGUGAUCAAUUUAUCCUGCUACCAUCAUCAUCAUAUUCAUCUUCUUAGUCCUAGGUUUUGCUCCUUAUCUUAUCAUCUUAGAAAAUUUUAUCUCAAUGUUUGGCUGUUUCUUGUCCCUGCCCCAUUUUGCUGUUUUUGCUUUGCCUGCCCAGACCUUUCUUGUUGCCCUUGCAUCCUUUGGUAUGUUUGUCUAGUUCUUAGACUUGCAGCAUCUAGCUGAUGUUGGGUAAAAUGUACUUUUUAUUUUUUUUAGUUUGUUGAAAAUGUUAUUUUCGAUUUGUACUCAUUCUGUUUUUCUGUUUAGUAAUCAGACUAGAGUAAAUCAUAUCUGCUUUAUUUUACUGAUUUAGUAAUUCUUUACUGGACUUGUUUAUUCAGUUGCUGCUGAUUUCUGCAUUUCUCUUUUGAGGUAUUGGUUAAAUGCAGGGGGAAAUUAAUAUCCACCAACUUUUUACUGGCUAUACAAAUGGUCGUAGGGAUUGGCUUGCUUGGCCACAGAUAUUGAAAUUAAAAGAUUGGCCUCCUUCUAAUUUAUUUGAGGAACAAUUGCCUCGUCAUUGUGCUGAGUUCAUAUCUUCCUUACCCUUCAAGGAAUAUACUGAUCCUCACAAAGGUUCUCUUAACCUUGCUGUGAAGUUGCCUAAUGGUUCUCUAAAGCCAGACCUGGGGCCAAAAACAUAUAUUGCUUAUGGAUUUCCUCAGGAGCUUGGACGUGGUGAUUCAGUGACUAAGCUCCAUUGUGAUAUGUCUGAUGCAGUAAAUGCGUUGACUCAUAUUGCUGAAGUGAAACUGGAUUCUGAUCAACUUACUGUCAUUGAGAAGUUGAAGCAAAAGCAUCUCGAGCAAGAGAAAAGGGAGCUACUUGGUGAUGAUCAGGAUGGAGAAACUAAUGUUGACAUGCUUAAUAUAAUUCAUCUUCUACAAUAAAUGCUUUGGACAGGCAAACUAGUGUUGAAGUCAUGGAACAAGAAGGUGGAUUAUGUGAUGGGAAAGAAGUUGAUCAGUUUCAUCAACCGUCUGGUAGUAAUGAGGUUGCCAUUGCUAAUGAGGAUGGUAUUUCAUAUGGAUCAGAGCUCAUAGAGGUUGACAAAGUAAAAGUAAAUCAAGGUGAUUUGUUGUUUGGGGGGGAUGCUUCAGAUGGUGCUCUCUGGGAUAUUUUUUGGAGACAGGAUGUCCCUAAGUUGCAGGAAUAUCUGAAGAAGAAUUUCAGAGAGUUUAGGCAUGUCCAUUGCUGUCGUUUAAAGCAGGGAUGAUUGACUUUUGGAUGUAUAGGUCUUUACGCCUUUAUCUUAUUCUGCAAUGACUCUGUGAGAGAGGAAGAAUAAAAGGGAAUGGAAGUUUGGAAAAUUUUAGACUAGAAGAAAGCCAACUUAGAGUUGAGCUUUUUAAGAACAAAUUCUAUCUCAAAAUCAAUUAUAAGAUGAACAAGAUUUUUAAAAUUUAAAUAACCAAAUGGUCUAGAUCUAAAAAUAAGCUCUAUUUCACCUAGAUAUCUAGCUUUGAUGGUUGCCACCUUAGAUUUUGGGAAAUUUAAUUCAUGUACCAUAGAAAAAAGAAGAAAAUUAUUCAUUUGCCAGGUUAUUUCUAGUUGUUAUGUUUAUCUGUUGUAUUUGUCUGAAGUUUGUCCUUGUUAUGUUUGUCUCUUGUAUUAUCAGUUGGAUCAUGCCAAUGAAUUAUCAAACUCCCUGAAAGAAAGUGCCAAUAUUAACACUGUUUGGGCAUCGCUUAUUGUUGAAGAAUGCACAAGACUUGGUUUGAUGUAUUUGUGUAUUGCUCCUGGAUCUAGACCUUCCCCUGUUGCUGUUGCUGUUGCAAGUCACAAAUUAAUCACAUGUAUUUCAUGCUUCGAUGAGCGUUCACUUGCAUAUCAUGCUGUUGGAUAUGGAAGAGGAUCUCACAUUCCAGCAGUAGCCAUUACAUCAUCAGGCACUGCAGUUUCCAACCUUCUUCCUGCUGGACUGCAACCUAAUCUACUAACUACUACUGAACUCUAAUGCAGGUCAAGUCUGAUCUGGCUAAAAAUAUCCAAUCAUUAGAACCAAACUCUAAAUGUUAUGUCUUGUAAUGAGUGAUUCUCUUACACUCUGAAGUAUAACAAUUUUACCUUAUAAGGGUUCAAUUCAAUCAAAGUAAAAUGGAAAGCGUUUCCUUAUUUAUCAAAUAUGCUUAUGUUUUGUAAUGUUCUUCUACUAAUAUGUGGCGAGCUUAAUCCAAAGUGAUCUUUCUUUUGGAACUAUCCAGUUGAAUAGCAGCAUAUUUUCAGCCUUGAACUUUAUAUUUUAUUUGUGACUGUUCUUCUUUAAGAGUGGUUUAUGAAUGUGGUAUUGAUAUUUGAUGCACGAUAACUGGCCUUCUGUCAGGUAAAGGUUCAACUUCUUAUUGCCAUUACUUUAAUAACAUUAAAUACUAAUUCUUUAGCCGCUCCCAGAUUGAGUUAGAUGAGCUGGAAAGUGUUUCCAUUCUGUCCAUGACCCUUGCAUGGGAUGAAUUUUCCUUCUCUACUUUUCAAGAAGCCCAUUAUUCGCUUCAAGAUUCUCUAGACCAGGUGCCUGACAUGCCUUUUUGAUAUCUUUUCUGUUUUGUUGUUUUAUUUACCAUCAUUCCCUGCUUCUAUCAUUUUUCAUGUAAUUUGGAAUAUUUAAAGUUAAAUGGUCAAUUCUUUUUUGUAUCAGUUUUUACACCUUUGUGAAUGAAAAAAGGGAAUCUUUCAUUAUGGUUUGGUUGGGCCUUUCUCUUUGUUUCCUAUAAUCUAGAGGAUCCUUAUCUUCUUCUUGGGUUCUGAAAGAAUAAAAACAUCUACUCCCUCCUGUAUUUAUGCUUGAUGUUAUUUCCUACGGUGUGGGUUAUGUGUCAUGUCUGGUCUACGAUUGACACAUGGAAAUCCAAAUGCACUAGAGCUGCCCUCAAAAAACCCAAUUUGGUAGAAGAUAGAUCUAUUCCAAGGGUACAAGCUCAUUUCUUUCCUAAGAAUAUGUAAGUUUUACUUGCAACUAGUUGUUACUUCCCUGAAUGCCAAUAUUUGUUUGACAUGUUUCUUUAGUUGAUAUUUGUCUUUUGCAUUUUCUUUUCCUUGGGUCUGGUUAAAUGUUAAUGCUCAAAAGGCUAUUUUCGUUAUUGUUGUAUUUUUUUGUAUUAUAUGCUAAUAUUUUAAGAUUUAAAUACAAUGCAGUGCAAACUAUAUUUGGGCCAAGCCCAUAUACUUAUAUAGUCUAAUUCUAACUCAAUCCAUAAUAACUCUUUAACAUUGUUCCCAAAUCCCAAGUUUGAGCAUAAAUAUUAAUCAUGCCUAGCUUGUUACAAAUGAAAUAACAGUGUUUUCCGGUCACAACCUUUGGCUAACAAUUUAUGGGUAAGCUUGUCUCCCUAAGGCAGGACCAUCAACCAUCUAGCAAUUCUUCAUUCCAGAGUCCAAAGAAGGUCAACUUGGUUGCUGCUCUGGUUCGUGGUAUGCUUGUUAAAGAUGCAUCGAUGCAGUUGGAAUCGACAAUAAAACGAGCAGCAAAAACUGUAUAUCAGGGAAUUCUGAUCUCAAAUUGUCCACGGCUAUGCAGCGAAAUUCUUGACAAGUUGAACCACCCUUUUCUACCUGCAUUAUCUAUAUGCUUCCUUCCAGACCAAAACUCACGUUUGGUUUGAUUACUAAUUAUUGUCCUAGAGGAGAACUAUUCCUGCUUCUUGAUCGGCAACCAACUAAGGUUCUCAAGGAAGAUGCCGUGAGGGGAAUUGAUGAUGUGGUGGUGAGAAUGAUGUAUGGGGAGUAGAACUACCAAGAGGAUUGUUGUUGUUGAAGAUGACAAGGGAGCUGAAAGAGGAAUGCCGAGCUUCAAUUCUGAGUUACCCAAUUUCAAUUCAUGGGUUGAGGAUGUUACAAGAGUUUGGGAUCCUUGCUGACCAGUGACUAGGGUUGAGGAUUUUACCAAGAGUCGAAGACCGUUGCUGCUAGAAUGUCAAGGUAAAGAGAAACGUUGUUAAUUAGUAUCCUUUUAAGGUAAAAAAAAAGGAAGAUUUUACGUAUAAGCGGAGCUUCACAAAGGAAAGGUAUGUCGCCCAUUUUAGGAAACUGCACCUGCUAUAAAUGCCAGAGUCAUACUAAAGCAUACAUCAAUCACCUAUUUAAUGUUCAUGAAAUGCUGGCACGGAUUCUGCUAGAGAUCCAUAAUACACACCACUAUUUGGCGUUCUUUCUUGUAAUAAGAGAAGCAAUAAAGGAUGGAAGGUUUGAGAAAUUUCGACAGACGUUCAUCCAGAGCAGGCGUGCCCAUCACGAAGGGGAAGCUGUUUGUGCUUGUGGUCAUAUAAGUUUAGGUGUAUACAUUGGGUUUUACCUAAGAUUUCUAUGAAACAUGAACUACGUAUUGUACAAAAAGGCGUCAAUUUUAGUAGUGUAAACUGAUUCGUUUGGCUGUCAAUAGAUACAAUUUAUUUGAUUGCAGAGUGUGUUCUCUUGACUAUUACUCUUGUAACUAAAGAUGCUAACAUUACUCAUCAUACGGAGAAAAAGUGUCAUGGUUGUUGAGGUCGUUGAAAAAUUAUUAAGUAUGGAAGGUUGAGUAAAUAUUUUCGAUUGUAAAUGAUGUGAAGCAUGAGGUAGUAUGAAGAUGCUCGAGAAUAAAUUUUUGAUUCAUUA
RNA transcript from Glycine soja, 5782 nucleotides. It is a transcript of the gene named 2-succinyl-5-enolpyruvyl-6-hydroxy-3-cyclohexene-1-carboxylate synthase-like, with no coding region annotated. NCBI's taxonomy places the organism in Eukaryota, Viridiplantae, Streptophyta, Magnoliopsida, Fabales, Fabaceae. The transcript has 15 exons. The record is from RefSeq and is a predicted model, not a curated record.